This 178-nucleotide non-coding RNA is filed under the name Rubellimicrobium mesophilum DSM 19309. Its description in RNAcentral is "Rubellimicrobium sp. MSL 20 Ruegeria cis52 sRNA". It matches the Rfam family "Ruegeria cis52 sRNA". Rfam says of the family: Cis-encoded. The record is from Rfam by way of RNAcentral. Lineage: Bacteria; Pseudomonadati; Pseudomonadota; Alphaproteobacteria; Rhodobacterales; Roseobacteraceae.
UCCGCAGCGCGUGCCGCAGGACGACCUGCGGGAAGCUCACGCCCUUGAGGCGCGCCGUGCGGAUGUAUUGCGCCGUCAUCACCUCGGUCAUCGAGGCGCGCGUCAUCCGGGCGACGUAGCCCAUGGCAUAGAGCGCCACGGUCAGCACCGGCAGCGUGAAGUUGACGAGGUUCGCGUC